Long non-coding RNA from Ipomoea nil (Japanese morning glory), 151 nucleotides. RefSeq lists it as uncharacterized. The record is from RefSeq and is a predicted model, not a curated record. The transcript has 3 exons. Lineage: Eukaryota; Viridiplantae; Streptophyta; Magnoliopsida; Solanales; Convolvulaceae.
AUAUCAGACUGGUGUCAAGGUGGUUGUUGCCUAUGGUGGAGCACCCAUAAAUCAACAGCUUCGAGAGCUUGAGAGGGGCGUGCAUAUACUUGUUGCCACUCCUGGGCGGUUAGUUGAUUUAUUAGAGAGGGCAAGAGUCUUAUUGGAGAUG